Molecule: ribosomal RNA, 207 nt
Filed under: uncultured bacterium
Lineage: Bacteria
Also listed under: 1 other name
Description: partial 16S ribosomal RNA
Rfam family: Bacterial small subunit ribosomal RNA
Source: RNAcentral
UGAGUAGGCGGUUGCAUAUGUCAGAUGUAAAAGGCACAGGCUUAACUUGUGUUAGCAUUUGAAACUGUGCGACUUGAGUGCAGGAGAGGUAAGUGGAAUUCCUAGUGUAGCGGUGAAAUGCGUAGAUAUUAGGAGGAACACCAGUGGCGAAGGCGACUUACUGGACUGUAACUGACGCUGAGUCACGAAAGCGUGGGUAGCAAACAG